RNAcentral lists this non-coding RNA (108 nucleotides) under unidentified. RNAcentral describes it as "Listeriaceae bacterium TPP sequence". It matches the Rfam family "TPP riboswitch aptamer (THI element)". Rfam says of the family: Vitamin B(1) in its active form thiamin pyrophosphate (TPP) is an essential coenzyme that is synthesised by coupling of pyrimidine and thiazole moieties in bacteria. The previously detected thiamin-regulatory element, thi box was extended, resulting in a new, highly conserved RNA secondary structure, the THI element, which is widely distributed in eubacteria and also occurs in some archaea. The record is from RNAcentral.
CUCUUGUACUAGGGGAGUCUUACUUAAGACCGAGAUAUGGAUAUAAAUUCAUGGACCCUUUGAACCUGUUGAGUUAGCACUCGCGUAGGGAAGUAUUGGGAACUUGAU